AUUGAACGCUGGCGGCAUGCCUUACACAUGCAAGUCGAACGGCAGCACGGGAGCAAUCCUGGUGGCGAGUGGCGAACGGGUGAGUAAUACAUCGGAACGUGCCCAAUCGUGGGGGAUAACGCAGCGAAAGCUGUGCUAAUACCGCAUACGAUCUACGGAUGAAAGCAGGGGAUCGCAAGACCUUGCGCGAAUGGAGCGGCCGAUGGCAGAUUAGGUAGUUGGUGAGGUAAAGGCUCACCAAGCCGUCGAUCUGUAGCUGGUCUGAGAGGACGACCAGCCACACUGGGACUGAGACACGGCCCAGACUCCUACGGGAGGCAGCAGUGGGGAAUUUUGGACAAUGGGAGAAAGCCUGAUCCAGCCAUGCCGCGUGCAGGAUGAAGGCCUUCGGGUUGUAAACUGCUUUUGUACGGAACGAAACGGCCUUUUCUAAUAAAGAGGGCUAAUGACGGUACCGUAAGAAUAAGCACCGGCUAACUACGUGCCAGCAGCCGCGGUAAUACGUAGGGUGCAAGCGUUAAUCGGAAUUACUGGGCGUAAAGCGUGCGCAGGCGGUUAUGUAAGACAGUUGUGAAAUCCCCGGGCUCAACCUGGGAACUGCAUCUGUGACUGCAUAGCUAGAGUACGGUAGAGGGGGAUGGAAUUCCGCGUGUAGCAGUGAAAUGCGUAGAUAUGCGGAGGAACACCGAUGGCGAAGGCAAUCCCCUGGACCUGUACUGACGCUCAUGCACGAAAGCGUGGGGAGCAAACAGG
This 753-nucleotide ribosomal RNA is filed under the name uncultured Comamonadaceae bacterium. RNAcentral describes it as "bacterial SSU rRNA". It matches the Rfam family "Bacterial small subunit ribosomal RNA", at positions 28 to 776 of the family's 1533-position model. Lineage: Bacteria; Pseudomonadati; Pseudomonadota; Betaproteobacteria; Burkholderiales; Comamonadaceae. The record is from RNAcentral.